RNAcentral lists this ribosomal RNA (297 nucleotides) under uncultured bacterium. RNAcentral's name for it is "partial 16S ribosomal RNA". It matches the Rfam family "Bacterial small subunit ribosomal RNA", at positions 32 to 319 of the family's 1533-position model. The record is from RNAcentral.
AAUCAACGCUGGAGGCGUGCCUCAGACAUGCAAGUCGUACGAUUAAAGCUCUCUUCGGAGAGUGUAUAGAGUGGCGCACGGGUGAGUAACACGUAAGUAAUCUACCUUCGAGUGGGGAAUAACAGUCGGAAACGACUGCUAAUACCGCAUAAUGCAGCGGCACCUAAUGGUGACAGUUGUUAAAGCAUUUAUGUGCUUGAAGAGGAGCUUGCGGCAGAUUAGCUAGUUGGUAAGGCAAUGGCUUACCAAGGCGACGAUCUGUAGCCGACCUGAGAGGGUGGUCGGUCACACUGACAC